This 395-nucleotide long non-coding RNA is filed under the name Daucus carota (carrot). Its description in RNAcentral is "long non-coding RNA (DCAR_LNC004189)". The record is from RNAcentral. Lineage: Eukaryota; Viridiplantae; Streptophyta; Magnoliopsida; Apiales; Apiaceae.
CUUGUCAGGUAUUCAGAUUCCAACUGGAUAAUUUUGGCUCUGUUACGAGGGACAAGCCAAUUUGGUUGCUUAGAGUAACUUCAAAGAGAAGGUUAUGAAGAUGAUGGAAACAGAAUCUUCAAGUUCAGGACUCUACAUCUUAGGAGACUCAACAACCUUCGUGAUUGAACUAAAGCACCAUUAACGAGACUCGGGUUCAGGAUAUUGUUGUUAUCCAACACCUGAUGAUCGUCACGGACAUGGUAUGACUUCUGACUAGCAUAUUAUUUUGAUAUCUGUUUGCUAGAGUCAUAUUUGGUAUCCAAAUUAUUACCUCUCAUGAUACAAGGCACACACAAUACAACUAUCUGUGCUGUGAUACCAUGAUUAUAUUAUAUGUGGACUAACGUCACUUG